Molecule: ribosomal RNA, 253 nt
Filed under: uncultured bacterium
Lineage: Bacteria
Description: partial 16S ribosomal RNA
Rfam family: Bacterial small subunit ribosomal RNA
Source: RNAcentral
UACGUAGGGUGCGAGCGUUACUCGGAAUUACUGGGCGUAAAGCGUGCGCAGGCGGUUUUGUAAGCCAGAUGUGAAAUCCCCGGGCUUAACCUGGGAAUGGCAUUUGGGACUGCAAGGCUUGAGUGCGGCAGAGGAGACUGGAAUUCCUGGUGUAGCAGUGAAAUGCGUAGAUAUCGGGAAGAACACCAGUGGCGAAGGCGGCUACCUGGCACAUAACUGACGCUGAUACGCGGAAGCGUGGGGAGCGAACCGG